AACGAACGCUGGCGGCAUGCCUAACACAUGCAAGUCGAACGAGACCUUCGGGUCUAGUGGCGCACGGGUGCGUAACGCGUGGGAACCUGCCCUUAGGUUCGGAAUAACUCCCCGAAAGGGGUGCUAAUACCGGAUAAUGUCUUCGGACCAAAGAUUUAUCGCCUUUGGAUGGGCCCGCGUUGGAUUAGCUAGUUGGUAGGGUAAAAGCCUACCAAGGCGACGAUCCAUAGCUGGUCUGAGAGGAUGAUCAGCCACACUGGGACUGAGACACGGCCCAGACUCCUACGGGAGGCAGCAGUGGGGAAUAAUGGACAAUGGGCGAAAGCCUGAUCCAGCAAUGCCGCGUGAGUGAUGAAGGCCUUAGGGUUGUAAAGCUCUUUUACCCGGGAUGAUAAUGACAGUACCGGGAGAAUAAGCUCCGGCUAACUCCGU
Molecule: ribosomal RNA, 432 nt
Filed under: uncultured bacterium
Lineage: Bacteria
Description: partial 16S ribosomal RNA
Rfam family: Bacterial small subunit ribosomal RNA
Source: RNAcentral